This 119-nucleotide ribosomal RNA is filed under the name Octopus bimaculoides (California two-spot octopus). Lineage: Eukaryota; Metazoa; Mollusca; Cephalopoda; Octopoda; Octopodidae. The record is from RNAcentral.
GUUUACGGUCAUAUCACGUUGAAAGUACCGGUUUUCGUCCGAUCACCGAAGUUAAGCAACGUCGAGCCUAGUGAGUACUUAGAUGGGUGACUGCUUAGGAAACCUUGGUACUGUAAGCG